CGUGUAGGCGGUCCGGUAAGUCCGCUGUGAAAGUCGGGGGCUCAACCCUCGAAUGCCGGUGGAUACUGUCGGGCUAGAGUGCGGAAGAGGCGAGUGGAAUUCCUGGUGUAGCGGUGAAAUGCGCAGAUAUCAGGAGGAACACCUAUUGCGAAGGCAGCUCGCUGGGACGUAACUGACGCUGAGACGCGAAAGCGUGGGGAGCAAACA
RNAcentral lists this ribosomal RNA (207 nucleotides) under uncultured bacterium. RNAcentral describes it as "partial 16S ribosomal RNA". It matches the Rfam family "Bacterial small subunit ribosomal RNA", at positions 568 to 774 of the family's 1533-position model. The record is from RNAcentral.